This 944-nucleotide ribosomal RNA is filed under the name Lygus lineolaris (tarnished plant bug). RNAcentral's name for it is "SSU rRNA". It matches the Rfam family "Eukaryotic small subunit ribosomal RNA", at positions 425 to 1272 of the family's 1831-position model. The record is from RNAcentral. Lineage: Eukaryota; Metazoa; Arthropoda; Insecta; Hemiptera; Miridae.
GCAGCAGGCACGCAAAUUACCCACUCCCGGCACGGGGAGGUAGUGACAAAAAAUAACGAUACGGGACUCUUAUGAGGCCCCGUAAUCGGAAUGAGUACACUUUAAAUCCUUUAACAAGGAUCCAUUGAAGGGCAAGUCUGGUGCCAGCAGCCGCGGUAAUUCCAGCUUCAAUAGCGUAUAUUAAAGUUGUUGCGGUUAAAAAGCUCGUAGUUGGUUCUGCGUGCCACGCUGUCGGUUCGCCGCCUGCCGGUGUAACUGGCAUGCCGUGGCAUGUCCUGUCGGUGGCGUUCGGGAGCCUCGUCUAGGUGACGGCCCUUGCCACAAGCUUGGUGUCCGGAGGCCGGGGGUAUACUCGUUCGCCUACUCUAUCCUACCUAGGUGCUCUUCACCGAGUGUCGAGGUAGGCCGACACGUUUACUUUGAACAAAUUAGAGUGCUCAAAGCAGGCUGAAAUCUCUGCCUGAAUAGUGGUGCAUGGAAUAAUAAAACAGGACCUUGGUUCUAUUUUGUUGGUUCUUAGGAACACAAGGUAAUGAUCAAUACGGACAGGCGGGGGCAUUCGUAUUGCGACGUUAGAGGUGAAAUUCUUGGAUCGUCGCAAGACGCACAAGAGCGAAAGCAUUUGCCAAGUAUGUCUUGAUUGAUCAAGAACGAAAGUUAGAGGUUCGAAGGCGAUCAGAUACCGCCCUAGUUCUAACCAUAAACGAUGCCAGCCAGCGAUCCGCCGAUGUUCCUCCGAUGACUCGGCGGGGAGCUUCUUCCCGGGAAACCAAAGCUUUUGGGUUCCGGGGGAAGUAUGGUUGCAAAGCUGAAACUUAAAGGAAUUGACGGAAGGGCACCACCAGGAGUGGAGCCUGCGGCUUAAUUUGACUCAACACGGGAAACCUCACCAGGCCAGGACAUUGGAAGGAUUGACAGAUUGAUAGCUCUUUCUUGAUUCAGUG